AGUCGAACGGUAACAGAGAGAGCUUGCUCUUUGCUGACGAGUGGCGAACGGGUGAGUAACGCGUAUGCAACCUACCUUUAACUGGGAGAUAGCCCCGAGAAAUCGGGAUUAAUACCCCAUAACAUUACGAAAACUCAUGUUUUUGUAAUUAAAGCUUCGGCGGUUAAAGAUGGGCAUGCGGGACAUUAGCUAGUUGGUGAGGUAAUAGCUCACCAAGGCUACGAUGUCUAGGGGGCCUGAGAGGGUUAUCCCCCACACUGGUACUGAGACACGGACCAGACUCCUACGGGAGGCAGCAGUGAGGAAUAUUGCGCAAUGGACGAAAGUCUGACGCAGCCAUGCCGCGUGCAGGAUGACGGCCCUACGGGUUGUAAACUGCUUUUAUAUAGGAAGAAACCCCUUUACGUGUAAAGGGCUGACGGUACUAUACGAAUAAGCACCGGCUAACUCCGUGCCAGCAGCCGCGGUAAUACGGAGGGUGCAAGCGUUAUCCGGAUUCAUUGGGUUUAAAGGGUGCGCAGGCGGUCUAUUAAGUCAGUGGUGAAAGCCUACAGCUCAACUGUAGAACUGCCAUUGAUACUGAUAGACUUGAAUGCGGUUGAAGUGGGUGGAAUGUGUAGUGUAGCGGUGAAAUGCAUAGAUAUUACACAGAACUCCGAUUGCGAAGGCAACUCACUAAACCGUUAUUGACGCUCAGGCACGAAAGCGUGGGGAGCGAACAGGAUUAUAUACCCUGGUAGUCCACGCCGUAAACGAUGAUCACUCGAUAUUGGCGAUAUACUGUCAGUGUC
RNAcentral lists this ribosomal RNA (791 nucleotides) under uncultured marine bacterium. Its description in RNAcentral is "bacterial SSU rRNA". It matches the Rfam family "Bacterial small subunit ribosomal RNA", at positions 60 to 847 of the family's 1533-position model. The record is from RNAcentral.